Long non-coding RNA from Bombus impatiens (common eastern bumble bee), 2822 nucleotides. RefSeq lists it as uncharacterized. The transcript has 4 exons. NCBI's taxonomy places the organism in Eukaryota, Metazoa, Arthropoda, Insecta, Hymenoptera, Apidae. The record is from RefSeq and is a predicted model, not a curated record.
GGAUUUAGUCGAUUUUAAUAUAUGAAAAUAGCAAUGUACGAUGGUAUCGUGAGUUUUUCAUUUUAAAUGAUUUUCGAAGUAGCUUUUCGUUCGCGGUUGGUUAGAAAUUUCUUGGCGAACGAGUGUGACUGGUCAUUUGUUAAAAGCGGCACAAAGCGUGCGCCAAAAACCGGGUCAUCCACUUCUCGCGAAAAAUCGAUACGAAAUGGUGGAACGCGAUUCCUGGUCUGACCACUGGUUGACUCGUUCCACUUGCCGCGCCGUGGAUAGUCAUUUUUCAAUGGCGAAUUUUGUGGUUCGCGUUACACUGGGUCGCUGCGUUAGUUACGUCGCGUUUAAACCGAGUUUGCCAAUAUCGUGUCAUUAGACGAUUCCAACGAUACGAAAUGACGUUGAACGAUCAGCAAGAACGAAUUUUCGUCGAAGGAAACAAGAUGUCUCGUUCGAGAUAAUCCGAUUCUUCGAUGAAAAAUAUUCCUAGAGAUCGUAUAGAUAUCACUAUCCCUAAUUGUUUCCUACGUUUAUAUUUUUUCACCGCCAUAUUCUUUACUCUCCAAUUUUUUUACCGCGUUGCUAUUUCUCUUCUCAUCCUUUGUUCGGACGAAUUAAAAUUCUUUUUAUCGUUCUAUUUAUUGGAUACCGUACAACGACGGAUGCGAACUCUUCGAACAUCGUUCCUCUGGAGCCAAUUCGUGGAUCUAAUCAGGUGCACAUGACAGUGAAAUAAUCGUCGUUAGAAAGCGAGACGUUGUAAGUCGGUCUCGAAUAAAAUUCCGUCGAAGCCAGCUGUAUCUAUUUGAUCGAGAAGUUCCAAUGCGAUACGAUUCGCGAGCAAGGCGACGUUCUCUACCUGUUGCACGUUGCUUUCAUAGGAAAUUGCCUUACCGACAUAUUGAACAUUGUCAUUCCUGUCUAUGGAUGGUAAUCCUGUGCAGAAACGUGCCACUGUGGGAUUACAACGCCUUCUUUUUGUCUUUUUUCAUCGUUAUCGGCCUCGUACGCGCGAUAAAGUCACUCAUUCUCAUCUGUAAACGCAUUUGUUCAGUGUGGUGCAAUUUAUCAACGUACUCUUCCUUUAGAGCUUAUUAUUGCGUCUGAUAUUUCCCCACGUCUGACGGAAGAUCGUUUACCGUUCCGUAAAUGGUACGCGGAGAAUAUUUACGAAGCUUUUGCUUUUCCUUUCUUUUAAUUUAAAAAAGAUCUUGCUACAGGGGGGAAAAACGUAAGGGAGUAGUUCUUGGAUAUUCGUAGAAUUAAUUUUCUCGUAGUUCGCUGUAGCAACGAUAGGAAAAGUAUUUCAAUUAAGGGAAAGAAGUCGUAGAAACGAUGCACCGCGAAAUUGGUUCGUCUUGCUUUAUUAUUUUGAUCGUUUCCAAUGAAAUCUCGUAUUACUCUAUUCGACGUUUUAAUCCGGAGAGAAAAAUUAUUCGAUCGUUCGAAUUAAAAUUCCGGAGAGCGAUAUUAAAGUCGGUAAUUUUCGAUUUCUUUAAACUCUGGAUUACCGAACAGCCGAGAAAGAUUCUCACGAGGAAAAGAAUAGAUGGCUCGUACCAUAGCUACACACGUUUCGUUCUGACAAACGUGGAUCGCGUCGAGGAAAUUAAUUCCGCUUCGUAGAAGGAUACUAAGUGUCUACCUGUUGCACCACGCUGCCAGACGAAACGGUCUCGAUCGUUUUUGGAGAAUCGCGGAAGUGAAGGAGAAAUACAGAGAAAGAAAGAGGAGGAGAGAACGACAGCACUUGGCGAAUGAAAAAUUUUACGCGUCUACGCGUACGAAGAAACCUGCUGGUACGUCGUUGCCUUCGCAACUUGUUGCUAGUCGUUCAGAGAUCUCUCCACUUCUCGAUUCUCGGUGCUGCUUCCUGCACACAGGUGCUGUAGUGGGACAAAAUUCUCGUCGUUUCCGUGACACCGAUCCUUCGACGAUCGAUCCACUAACGCCAGCAUGGUAUUUUCAAGAUACGUUCCUGUUUCUCUUCGACGAUAGAAGCCUCGCCUUUAGAAUGAUUCUAAUUGUAUAGCGAUUACGGUGUGUAUAUGACGGCGCGAAGCAGAAUAUUAACACUGGAGUAUUAAAUCGGUCCAUGCGUAAUAGCUGCGGCGACCAAAUCGAUAUUCCUCGAACAAUUUCUCAUCCCAAUGGUCGAUAGCCGCGUUACGCUCGAUCGGCGCAUAACGACAGCUGUGCUGCGUUUUCGUCUUGGGAACCUGUGGGGCCGCUAUUAACGACGAGAUUAUGGUGCGUAGUGCGUAGGGCUCGCAAGGUGCAACCAGGGCCUUGCCAUCUGCUCGUGCACGUGGCCCUGGCACGUGCCACCAGCUGAUAAUAGCGCCUUCGAUCCCGUCGCCGCCGCGCCGCGACGACACGAGCACUCCUGCUACGUGCCCAACAUUUCAAGCGGUGGCUGUUUAGGCGAUAACGAAAUUUUCGGCCCUCACGUAUGCUGCUCGAUUAUAUCGAAUAUAGCGCAAACCGCCUUGGUUAAACGAUUUAAUUUUAUCACGUCCUUUUCCCCCUUUUCGAAGAGACAUUGGGGACACUAUCGCGAGCAAUCGUUUCGGGGCAGUUCGAAGCAACGAAAGAAAUAUCAUCAGCCGCAAAUGCCUAUAUCUGUAUGGAAUGGCAUUGCGAAGCAAGAUAAAAAAAAAAUCGCCAUUUUCGCAAACGUAUCGCGCGAUUCGUCAAAUUUGAUUUUAUCAGGAAUGAAUUCGUCUUGCAUAUUUGUCUCCGGCAUGAGAUAGUCUUUUCAAAUAUUAACGUUUUAUGGCCAACUAUUCGCUCCGCGAGCGAUAAGCGUCAGGCUAGAGAUUCGAUACAUU